This 119-nucleotide ribosomal RNA is filed under the name Pteropus alecto (black flying fox). Lineage: Eukaryota; Metazoa; Chordata; Mammalia; Chiroptera; Pteropodidae. The record is from RNAcentral.
GUCCACGGCCAUGCCACCCUGAAUGUGCCUGAUCUCUUCUGAUCUCAGAAACUAAGCAGGGUCGGGCCUGGUUAGUACUUGGAUGGGAGACCACGUAGGAAGACCAGGUGCUGUAGGUG